RNAcentral lists this long non-coding RNA (419 nucleotides) under Brachypodium distachyon (stiff brome). RNAcentral describes it as "long non-coding RNA (BDIS_LNC005384)". Lineage: Eukaryota; Viridiplantae; Streptophyta; Magnoliopsida; Poales; Poaceae. The record is from RNAcentral.
AGUGUAUUGAAAAAAGUAGCUCUAUAUAUAACAUCAAAUCAAUAUAUAUGAAACUAUAUUUCAAGACGGAUUAGUGAUAUUUUAAAUUGGUGCCAUAAAUUUUGUUGCCUUUUCUCAUAAAGUUGCUCAAAUUUUAAAAUAUUUGACUUUUAACAAGAACUAGAAGUGCACUUAUUUGUGGACAGAGUGAGUACUGAGCUCAUCAUCGGUGUCUCGCUGUAGACAGAUCUACCACUAAAAGAGUAGACCCAGGUCUACCACUAAAAGAGUAGACCCAACUGAGCUCUGUUUCAAAAAAAAAAAGAACUUGAACUGGUUCCACCCCAAAGAACUAGAGCACUUCUUAUUUUUCUUAUUGCGCUGAAGUCUCUAGUAUUUUCCCGCCUGCCAUUUUUUAGCUAUUUGUGGGAGUCAAGGUA